AACGCUGGCGGCGUGCCUAACACAUGCAAGUCGAACGGGAAAGUGGAGCAAUCCACGAGUAUAGUGGCGACCGGGUGAGUAACACGUGACUACCUGCCCUUGAGUGGGGGAUAACCUUGGGAAACCGGGGCUAAUACCGCAUAAAAUCGAAAGAUCAAAGGAGCAAUCCGCUUUUGGAGGGGGUCGCGGCUGAUUAGCUAGUUGGUGAGGUAAUGGCUCACCAAGGCGAAGAUCGGUAUCCGGCCUGAGAGGGCGCACGGACACACUGGAACUGAAACACGGUCCAGACUCCUACGGGAGGCAGCAGUGGGGAAUUUUGCGCAAUGGGGGAAACCCUGACGCAGCAACGCCGCGUGGAGGAUGAAGCCCCUUGGGGUGUAAACUCCUUUCGACCGGGAAAAUUAUGAUGGU
RNAcentral lists this ribosomal RNA (411 nucleotides) under uncultured bacterium. RNAcentral describes it as "bacterial SSU rRNA". It matches the Rfam family "Bacterial small subunit ribosomal RNA", at positions 32 to 458 of the family's 1533-position model. The record is from RNAcentral.